GAACGAGAACGGCGACUUCGGUUGCUAAGUAAAGUGGCAGACGGCUGAGUAACACGUAAGUGAUUUGCCCCGGAGCGGGGGAUAAUCCGGAGAAAUCCGGCCUAAUACCCCGUACGUUCAUUAAGUUACGGCUUAGUGAAGAAAGAUUUAUUGCUCUGGGAGAAGCUUGCGGCCUAUCAGGUAGUUGGUGGGGUAACGGCCUACCAAGCCGAAGACGGGUAACCGAUGUGAGAGCAUGAUCGGUCAGAGGGGGACUGAGACACGGCCCCCACUCCUACGGGAGGCAGCAGCAGGGAAUCUUGCGCUAUGGGCGAAAGCCUGACGCAGCGACACCGCGUGGGGGAUGAAGGUCUUAGGAUUGUAAACCCCUUUUAUGAGGGAAGAGAACGGACGGUACCUCACGAAUAAGGAUCGGCUAACUACGUGCCAGCAGCCGCGGUAAUACGUAGGAUUCGAACGUUGUCCGGAUUUAUUGGGCGUAAAGGGUGUGUAGGCGACAUGGCAAGUCUCAUGUGAAAUCUCCCGGCUCAACUGGGAGGGGUCAUGGGAAACUGCCAAGCUGGAGGGCAGCAGAGGAAAGCGGAAUUCCGGGAGUAGUGGUGAAAUGCGUAGAUACCCGGAGGAACACCCGAGGCGAAGGCGGCUUUCUGGACUGUACCUGACGCUGAAACACGAAAGCGUGGGGAGCGAACCGGAUUAGAUACCCGGGUAGUCCACGCCCUAAACGAUGGA
Molecule: ribosomal RNA, 732 nt
Filed under: uncultured bacterium
Lineage: Bacteria
Description: bacterial SSU rRNA
Rfam family: Bacterial small subunit ribosomal RNA
Source: RNAcentral